Carassius carassius (crucian carp) is the source of this 1168-nucleotide long non-coding RNA. RefSeq lists it as uncharacterized. The transcript is spliced from 6 exons. NCBI's taxonomy places the organism in Eukaryota, Metazoa, Chordata, Actinopteri, Cypriniformes, Cyprinidae. The record is from RefSeq and is a predicted model, not a curated record.
UUAAUCUCAUGUGAUCAUUCAGAAAGCAUCAGAGUGGAAUGAACUCUGUGACUGUGAAGACACACCGAGCGCAGAUUCACAACCAUGAAUACUGUAAAUGCUGUGCAACUAUUCAUUCUGGUUUGGACCUUUACUGCUGUCUGUGAAGCUAAAAAUUUCAAAGUAGACUGUGAUAAUGUGACUGGAUCUGUGGAGAAAAAAGUCAAUCUCACCUGCAGAGUCUCUCAGGAAUGUGACGAAUACUGCUUUAAAAUGUAUAAGUUUAAAUUCCCCAAUAACUCAAUAAUCUGUAAACAAGAGGCUACUGUGAACUGUGAUCAGAGUAGGACCUUUACAUGCAGCUACACUCCAACUACUCCAGUGACAGACAAAUUCAGAUUCUUCGUGCAAGCAAUCUGUGGAUUGAAAAUAACAGAAUUCACUGUGGAUAUAGCAGAAACAUCAAAAACCAUAGGUGAUCCUAAACCUAAGGAUCCUGAAUCUAAGGAUACUGCCAUCGCUGCAGCUGUGGGAUGUUUCAGCAUCGUUCUCAUCAUCAUCAUCAUCAUGACUAUCAUUUGCAAAAAAAAACAAAAAAAAAAAUCUUGAGAUGUGAUAUAACAGCAUCGACUCAGCAGUUCUCAUGUGCUGCUCAUGAAACACACAUCUUUAUUUUAACUCCACCAUAAACAACAUACUGUACUCUACUAUCUGAUGUAUCUCUAACUACUGAAUAUUUACUGAAUAUAUAACUCUGGAUGUUCGUUUCUGUUUUGUAGAAGGUUUCAUCGGGCGCACGUGCCUUAACAUUUGCUUAUGUUGUUGCCGUUGAAACCAUCUAUAUUGAUUUCUGUGAAAUAACACCAUAUUAUUGAUCUGUUUGAUCAGUGUGUAUAUUUGUAUAUGUGACUUUAAUGAACUCAAGCCUUUGUGAACUUUAAGAGAAAACACAGCUAAACUUAAACUGUCUUUGGUUUUUCAGUUUUUUCAGAAUUUCAAGGAAAUGUCUAAAAUGAAUGUUAAUGUAUUAAUGUUAAUAUAAUUCAAGUUUGGAAAUGAUUUCUUAAUAUUUUGCACAUACAAUUUUCUAAUAGUACGAAUGGUGUGGUCUUGUACUGUCUUAUAUUAUUUUUAAAGAACAAUUAAAUGAAUAAAGAAUUGUAAUACUCUCUGAAGAUGAAUAUCUGUU